RNAcentral lists this ribosomal RNA (119 nucleotides) under Saimiri boliviensis boliviensis (Bolivian squirrel monkey). Lineage: Eukaryota; Metazoa; Chordata; Mammalia; Primates; Cebidae. The record is from RNAcentral.
GUCUGUGACCAUCCCACGCUGAACGUGCCUGAUCUCACCUGAUCUUAGAAGCUGAGCAGGGUCGGGCCUGGUUAGUACUUGGAUUGGAGACCGUCUGGAAGUACCGGGUGCUGUAGGCU